Molecule: ribosomal RNA, 253 nt
Filed under: uncultured bacterium
Lineage: Bacteria
Description: partial 16S ribosomal RNA
Rfam family: Bacterial small subunit ribosomal RNA
Source: RNAcentral
UACGGAGGAUCCAAGCGUUAUCCGGAUUCAUUGGGUUUAAAGGGUGCGUAGGCGGAAUUGUAAGUCAGUGGUGAAAGCCCUUCGCUUAACGAAGGAACUGCCAUUGAUACUGCAAAUCUUGAGUACAUUUGAUGUGGGCGGAAUGUGUCAUGUAGCGGUGAAAUGCUUAGAUAUGACACAGAACACCGAUUGCGAAGGCAGCUCACAAAACUGUAACUGACGCUGAGGCACGAAAGCGUGGGUAUCAAACAGG